RNAcentral lists this long non-coding RNA (1586 nucleotides) under Sorghum bicolor (sorghum). RNAcentral describes it as "long non-coding RNA (SBIC_LNC018593)". The record is from RNAcentral. Lineage: Eukaryota; Viridiplantae; Streptophyta; Magnoliopsida; Poales; Poaceae.
GUUCAGUAUCACCAGUGUAGUCAUCUUCAUGACUACCGUGCUCUCGAUCUCCCUCCUUUUCUUCUUUAUGCUUCUCUUUAUCUUCGGUGUGGAAAUCAUCAAAUCGCCUUAGGAGAGCAGCAAGGCUUUUGUCCACACUAGCAACGGAUUCCUCCAAACGUGUGAGCUUGUUGUUUGUGGCAAUCUGCGUAGCCUCCAACUGCCCCAGCUUUUCAUUUGUCACCUGCAAGUCGUUAUCAAGUCCCUCUGUGUGUAGCCUCACUUUCCUUUCAAAAUGUUGUAUGAUGCCCUUAGUGCGAGGUGUAAGUGGUGUUUCGUUACCAUCAUCUGCCCCUGGCAUGGUUCAAAGACAAAGACAACAAAAAGGCAAGUGAAGAAAUAAAAGCCCUACAACUACUAGGAUGUAGCUACAACAAGUCGCUCACACUCAACCUGUAACACAAGUUCUUACCAAUUCUUACCUUGCUUGACAGGAGGGGUCGUCUGCCAACAAGUGUACAGCAAUGGACGAAGUGUAUCGGUGCUGCAGCACAAGACCUAUCAAGCUGUAGAGUAUGUGGAGCUAUAGGUGGGCUGAAACAAGGAACGAACUAGCACCAUGUUAGUUAUAAAAGCGAGCUGAAUAAGCGUUCGGCGAUGGUACUGUGCUGGUCCUAGCCUAGACCGUGCUAGAGACGCGAGCCUGGACACAAAGGGAAAACACAGCACACCACUAGAAACAAAAUGAGCAGCCCUACUGGAAACAAAAGGAACAACAAUCCCCAUUUUUUUGAUUUUUUUUCUCUUUUUUUUCUUUCUUUCUUUCUUUUUUUUCCUUUCUCUUUUUUUUUGGGGAACCUCAAAACCUGAUUAUAUAAACAAAAUAGUACAAAAUAUCACUUCACCACUCUCACCCUCUCACUAGAGUAAGGCUGAACCUCAAAAUUCAAUAUAUCUAGCACAAGUAUGAAGUGCUAUCUUUCCUUUUGGAUCACGUUGACGGAAACGCAGAAUAGACCAACAAGUGGCUGCACCUAUUAUCAAGAUCUACUCAAAUUCUAACCCACAAUAGAUUGGACGCAGUUGUGACUAGAUGGUGACAAGAACUCAAAACUCUAAAGGACUAAACUAAAACCAGCACUCGACACGACCGAAGCAAACACUCAUUCAACCAGCCUUAACUAAGUAGUACUAGCCACGGCACAAAGGAUUUAUAGGAUUAUGGAAAACAAAUCUGCUAUAUUUUUUUUGUCUUUUUUUGGACUAUAGGAAAAACAAACACGAAGAAUUGGAAAUCUCUCACCGAUAAACCUUGCUCUGAUACCAACUGAUGUGAACCCACUAGGGUUUUCGCCUGAUCUUUCGAUGAGAGGCGCUGGAUAACUCGAUUAGUGAAUGGAGAUGACGUUCACGGCCCGACUACAGCCUUCUAAGGCCGCGCCUUAGCAACCGAUACACCGCCUCCAAUGGCUGUCACGAUCUUGUGGAGCGCAACACCCGGCCACUAGGGCACUCGUCCUGCAAGCAAUCGAAGAACCAGCAAGAACAAGUAGAACAAGUACUAAAUUACUAGAUGUAAAUGAAGGUUUCAAACUCAAUCUCUAAUG